This 990-nucleotide ribosomal RNA is filed under the name Uroconger syringinus. RNAcentral's name for it is "partial 16S ribosomal RNA". It matches the Rfam family "Bacterial large subunit ribosomal RNA", at positions 1456 to 2792 of the family's 2925-position model. Lineage: Eukaryota; Metazoa; Chordata; Actinopteri; Anguilliformes; Congridae. The record is from RNAcentral.
UAGAACAGAUAAUGCUAAAAUUAGUAAUAAGGAGGGCCCACCCUCCUCCUAGCAUGAGUGUAAGUCAGACCGGAUUAACCACUGACAACCAACGAACCCAAAUAUAACAGAGGAGAAUAACAGUAAUCACAAAAAACAAGAAAACCCUGAAAAGACCAAUCGUUAACCCAACACAGGAAUGCAAUAUAGGAAAGACUAAAAGGAAAAGAAGGAACUCGGCAAACACAAACCUCGCCUGUUUACCAAAAACAUCGCCUCUUGCUAACAAAAUGUAUUAGAGGUCCCGCCUGCCCUGUGACCAAAAGUUUAACGGCCGCGGUAUCCUGACCGUGCGAAGGUAGCGCAAUCACUUGUCUUUUAAAUGAAGACCCGUAUGAAUGGCAUGACGAGGGUUUAACUGUCUCCUUUCCCCAGUCAAUGAAAUUGAUCUGCCCGUGCAGAAGCGGGCAUUAAAACAUAAGACGAGAAGACCCUAUGGAGCUUCAGGCCAAGGACCAAACAUGUUAAAUAAACUAAAAAUUAAGAAAUUAAAACAAAAAGUGACAAAACCAAAUGUAAAAUGGCCCAAGUGCCUUCGGUUGGGGCGACCAUGGGGAAAAAACAAACCCCCAAAUGGAAAAGGGAUCAACCCUUAAACCAAGAAAAUUACCUCUAAGUAAUAGAACAUCUAACCAAAAAUGACCCAGAAAUCUAAUAUUCUGACCAAUGGAACAAGUUACCCUAGGGAUAACAGCGCAAUCCCUUCCCAGAGUUCAUAUCGACGAAGGGGUUUACGACCUCGAUGUUGGAUCNNGACAUCCUAAUGGUGCAGCCGCUAUUAAGGGUUCGUUUGUUCAACGAUUAAUAGUCCUACGUGAUCUGAGUUCAGACCGGAGAAAUCCAGGUCGGUUUCUAUCUAUGAACACUUUUUUCCAGUACGAAAGGAUAGAAAAAAGGGGGCCCAUGCUCAAAGUACGCCCCACUCCCAUAUCUUGAAAACAAAUAAAAAAU